RNAcentral lists this ribosomal RNA (253 nucleotides) under uncultured bacterium. Its description in RNAcentral is "partial 16S ribosomal RNA". It matches the Rfam family "Bacterial small subunit ribosomal RNA", at positions 524 to 776 of the family's 1533-position model. The record is from RNAcentral.
CACGUAGGGGGCAAGCGUUGUCCGGAAUCAUUGGGCGUAAAGCGCGCGUAGGCGGCCCUGUAAGUCCGCUGUAAAAGUCAAAGGCUCAACCUUUGAACGCCGGUGGAUACUGCAGGGCUAGAGUCCGGAAGAGGCGAGCGGAAUUCCUGGUGUAGCGGUGGAAUGCGCAGAUAUCAGGAGGAACACCAACGGCGAAGGCAGCUCGCUGGGACGGUACUGACGCUAAGGCGCGAAAGCUAGGGGAGCGAACAGG